CGAAAUGCCAAAACAAAGUCAGAUGCUGACCAAAUUAGCGGUAUAUAUGUAGUUGGCAACAACAGAGAGACAGCAAUCAGAGAGAGAGCAGCAGCCAUUAACGCAACAAUAUUGAGAAAGAGUAACAACAAGAGGGAGAGAGAGAGAGAGAGAGACAGAUAGGGAGAGAGGGAGGACAAUAGGCUCCAUCAUGAAGCGGUCAAACCGAUGCAGUUCAAUGUGAAAUCAAGUCAAUACGUAUACGUACCAUGGGACAAAUCGGACAGUUUAGUAUUUUUAACUAAAUGUAAUCGUCAAUGAUGAUGGGGUUGUUGACGUAGGCAAUUUGGACAACAAGUCGAAGACGAGCAAAAACAAGAGAAUUUUGAAUAGGAACAACACGGUUGUCAGGCGUCAUCAAUUCAUUUGAAUAACAAAUCAUUUCCCUCUGACAGGUAGUUCGCAGCGCCGCGAACGCUGGGAAGGACGGGGACAAAGAGUAACCCAGACACUGGCCAGGCACAGAGGGUGGCGGGCAGUGAGGCAGGUGCAGUUGUGGGCAGCAGGGAGUUAUAAGAUUGUCAGGCCCCUUGCAAUCGCCUUCCUCAUCAAAGUUCGAUUGAAAUGGCAAAAGGGAGAUGCAUUAAACUAGUCGUAAGAAAGGCAUAACUAAAACUAUUAUGGCUAAGCGGCGCCAGGAUGACAGUAAAAGCGGCGUCUGUGCGAGACAUGACAGGAAGAGGAACUUAUUUAAUAAUUGCUUCCCCCACUUUCCAUUUAUUUAGUAUCUGUACGGUAUUUUAGAGUCGAUUCCACAACUUGAGGCGCAUAAAUUUUGCGUUUUUUUAUUUAAUAAAGAAAAGUUUUGUAUUUUAA
This is a long non-coding RNA of Drosophila willistoni, 855 nucleotides long. RefSeq lists it as uncharacterized. The record is from RefSeq and is a predicted model, not a curated record. The transcript is spliced from 2 exons. Lineage: Eukaryota; Metazoa; Arthropoda; Insecta; Diptera; Drosophilidae.